UCGGAUUGAAGGCUGAAAUUCGCCUUCAUGAAGCCGGAAUUGCUAGUAAUGGCAGGUCAGCAUACUGCCGUGAAUACGUUCCCGGGCCUUGUACACACCGCCCGUCACACCAUGAGAGUUGGGAAUACCCGAAGCCUGUGAGCUAACUAUACGAGGCAGCAGUCGAAGGUAGAAUCAAUGAUUGGGGUGAAGUCGUAACAAGGUACC
Molecule: ribosomal RNA, 207 nt
Filed under: uncultured bacterium
Lineage: Bacteria
Description: partial 16S ribosomal RNA
Rfam family: Bacterial small subunit ribosomal RNA
Source: RNAcentral